AUAUGCUUGUCCCAAAGCUUAAGCCAUGCAUGUCUCCGACGAGGGUAGCUUGAUCCGAAUCUGCGAAGGGCUCCGUAUAUCUAUUGUAACCUACCGCCACCGAGCUGCCAAGGCGGAUAACCCAGGUAAUCCUUGGGCUAAUACGUGGUACAUUCGGGCUUCGGCCCGGGUCUCGCGGACCUAAACCAACGGCCCCUUAAAAGGCUGAUCGUGAGGGACUGUGAGGGCGCCUAACCGACCCGCAAGGGACGGUGUGUGCGAUGGACUUUAGACCUAUCAACUAGACGGCAAGGGCAAGCCCCGCCGUGGUUACAACGGGUACAGAGGAUCAGGGUUCGGUCCUGGAGAGGUAGCCUUAGAGAUCGCUACCACUUCUAAGGAAGGCAGCAGGCGCGCAACGUUCCCAAUGGGGAUUCCCUGAGGACGUGACGGGGCAUAUCAAUACUGGGCCUUUAAAGCCCGGUAAUUGAAAUGGGGGCGGUUUAAAUCCCCCACCGAGUAACAAUUGGAGGACAAGUCUGGUGCCAGCACCCGCGGUAAUUCCAGCUCCAAUAGCAUCUAAUUAAGUUGUUGCAGUUAAAACGCUCGUAGUCGAAGCGGGCGCGCCUUGCUGCGCCAGUACAGCCCACUGUCCGGCCGCUUUCGGGCGUGUCGGCGUUGGGCGGGACCGCGUGGUGGAGCCGCCUCCUUGCCCUUGCGAGAAGACGGGCUUUCAUUAGUCCGCCAUCGCUCGCUUGGGCCCUUUACUUUGAGUAAAUUCGAGCGCUCAACGCAGGCCUACGGGCCUUUCAAUCCUGAAGACUCCAGCAAAGAAUAAUGGAACAAGAUACCCUCUUGGUCCGUUGGUACCACUCGGGAUAAUGAUCAAUAGGGGCGAUCGGGGUCGGCCACAUGGCAGGGGUAGGGGUGAAAUCCGUUGAUCCUUGCCAGGUGAACAAGAGCGAAAGCAGCCGACAAGUACGCUUUCUUUGAUCAAGAACGAAAGUCUGGGGAUCGAAGACGAUUAGAUACCGUCGUAGUCCAGACCCUAAAUGCUGCCGGCCAUGGAUGGGCGACAGUCCAUCCCGACCCUGCCUGCACCUUGUGGGAAACCAUAAGCGUUUGGGCUCCGGGGGGAGUAUGGUCGCAAGACUGAAACUUAAAGGAAUUGACGGAAGAGCACACAAGGAGUGGAGCCUGCGGCUUAAUUUGACUCAACACGGGAAAACUCACUAGGGCAAGAUAAUGGUACGAUGGACAGCAUAUCAGUGCUUUCCUGAUUCGUUUAGUGGUGGUGCAUGGUCGUUCUUAGUUCGUGGAGUGAUUUGUCUGGUCAAUUCCGCUAACGAGCGAGAACCCAACGUUGUCUAGUUGGGGCCUCGUGCAUGCCGCUUCGAUUCCGGCGGGCUUGGGGCGUGCUUCGGCGCCAACCCUGGGCCUCUGGAGGACUAGUGGCUGAAAACGCACCUGGAACCGGCCUGGCAGGACUGGCUUCGACAAGAGGCCGGAAGUGGGUCAAUAACAGGUCAGUGAUGCCCUUAGAUGCUCUAGGCUGCACGCGCGCUACAAUGGGUGGAGCAGCGGGUCCCCUGUGCUUAAUUGCAACGGGUAAUCCUGCAAAGCCCCCCAUGUCUGGGAUCGAGGCGUGUAACGCGCCUCGUCAACAAGGAAUUUCUAGUAGUCAUGGGUCACUAGCCCGUGACGAUUC
RNAcentral lists this ribosomal RNA (1687 nucleotides) under Dictydiaethalium plumbeum. Its description in RNAcentral is "SSU rRNA". It matches the Rfam family "Eukaryotic small subunit ribosomal RNA", at positions 26 to 1647 of the family's 1831-position model. The record is from RNAcentral. Lineage: Eukaryota; Evosea; Eumycetozoa; Liceales; Dictydiaethaliaceae.